UACCAGACUCCUACGGGAGGCAGUAGUGGGGAAUAUUGCACAAUGGGGGAAACCCUGAUGCAGCAACGCCGCGUGAGUGAAGAAGUAUUUCGGUAUGUAAAGCUCUAUCAGCAGGGAAGAAGAUGACGGUACCUGAGUAAGAAGCCCCGGCUAACUACGUGCCAGCAGCCGCGGUAAUACGUAGGGGGCAAGCGUUAUCCGGAUUUACUGGGUGUAAAGGGAGCGUAGACGGCUGCGCAAGUCUGAAGUGAAAGCCCGGGGCUCAACCCCGGGACUGCUUUGGAAACUGUGUAGCUAGAGUGCUGGAGAGGCAAGCGGAAUUCCUAGUGUAGCGGUGAAAUGCGUAGAUAUUAGGAAGAACACCAGUGGCGAAGGCGGCUUGCUGGACAGUAACUGACGUUGAGGCUCGAAAGCGUGGGGAGCAAACAGGAUUAGAUACCCGAGUA
This 446-nucleotide ribosomal RNA is filed under the name uncultured bacterium. Its description in RNAcentral is "bacterial SSU rRNA". It matches the Rfam family "Bacterial small subunit ribosomal RNA", at positions 329 to 792 of the family's 1533-position model. The record is from RNAcentral.